GGCAGUGCGAGCUUGGCACUUCGUGUUUUCUGUGUGAUCGUCUUUUGCUUAUACUAACACCGAAGUCAAGAUGCCUCGCGGGCGUGGGCGCGGGCGGGCGGCGACGAAGAGGAAGGCGGCGGCGGUGGCGGAUGACGACGCGCCCCCCGCCAAGCUGGAGCGCGAGGCCAGCGAGAACACGCGGCUGCGGCAGGCGAUCUGCGAGGCCAAGGAGGGCGCCGCCAAGAGGCCCGCCAAGCGCAAGCCGGACGGCGUCCUCAGCAGGAGCCACCCCGGGGUAA
Penaeus monodon (black tiger shrimp) is the source of this 281-nucleotide long non-coding RNA. RefSeq lists it as uncharacterized. Lineage: Eukaryota; Metazoa; Arthropoda; Malacostraca; Decapoda; Penaeidae. The record is from RefSeq and is a predicted model, not a curated record. The transcript has 3 exons.